This 506-nucleotide ribosomal RNA is filed under the name uncultured bacterium. RNAcentral's name for it is "partial 16S ribosomal RNA". It matches the Rfam family "Bacterial small subunit ribosomal RNA", at positions 30 to 523 of the family's 1533-position model. The record is from RNAcentral.
AUUGAACGCUGGCGGCAGGCCUAACACAUGCAAGUCGAGCGGCAGCGGAAAGUAGCUUGCUACUUUGCCGGCGAGCGGCGGACGGGUGAGUAAUGUCUGGGAAACUGCCUGAUGGAGGGGGAUAACUACUGGAAACGGUAGCUAAUACCGCAUAACGUCGCAAGACCAAAGAGGGGGACCUUCGGGCCUCUUGCCAUCAGAUGUGCCCAGAUGGGAUUAGCUAGUAGGUGGGGUAACGGCUCACCUAGGCGACGAUCCCUAGCUGGUCUGAGAGGAUGACCAGCCACACUGGAACUGAGACACGGUCCAGACUCCUACGGGAGGCAGCAGUGGGGAAUAUUGCACAAUGGGCGCAAGCCUGAUGCAGCCAUGCCGCGUGUAUGAAGAAGGCCUUCGGGUUGUAAAGUACUUUCAGCGGGGAGGAAGGCGUUGUGGUUAAUAACCACAGCGAUUGACGUUACCCGCAGAAGAAGCACCGGCUAACUCCGUGCCAGCAGCCGCCGCGG